ACGAAUGAUCAUCCUUGAUCUUCCUACCCUCAAACCACUGUGGAACACAACACGUGCUUCGGCGCCCUCGGCGCCGUCCUUAUGCUCCAACCAUGUCUUUUUUGUCUGAAGAAUCAAAAACAUCA
This 125-nucleotide unclassified non-coding RNA is filed under the name uncultured Ascomycota. Its description in RNAcentral is "sequence contains ITS1". Lineage: Eukaryota; Fungi; Ascomycota. The record is from RNAcentral.